ACGGGAGGCAGCAGUGGGGAAUAUUGCACAAUGGGGGGAACCCUGAUGCAGCAACGCCGCGUGAAGGAAGACGGUUUUCGGAUUGUAAACUUCUAUCAAUAGGGAAGAAAGAGAUGACGGUACCUAAAUAAGAAGCCCCGGCUAACUACGUGCCAGCAGCCGCGGUAAUACGUAGGGGGCAAGCGUUAUCCGGAAUUACUGGGUGUAAAGGGAGAGUAGGCGGCAUGGUAAGCAAUAUGUGAAAGCCUCGGGCUUAACCUGAGGAUUGCAUAAUGAACUAUCAAGCUAGAGUACAGGAGAGGAAAGCGGAAUUCCUAGUGUAGCGGUGAAAUGCGUAGAUAUUAGGAAGAACACCAGUGGCGAAGGCGGCUUUCUGGACUGGAAACUGACGCUGAGGCUCGAAAGCGUGGGGAGCGAACAGGAUUAGAUACCCUGGUA
Molecule: ribosomal RNA, 438 nt
Filed under: uncultured Defluviitaleaceae bacterium
Lineage: Bacteria; Bacillati; Bacillota; Clostridia; Lachnospirales; Defluviitaleaceae
Description: bacterial SSU rRNA
Rfam family: Bacterial small subunit ribosomal RNA
Source: RNAcentral